GACGAACGCUGGCGGCGUGCUUAACACAUGCAAGUCGAACGGAAAGGCCUCUUUCGGGGGGUACUCGAGUGGCGAACGGGUGAGUAACACGUGAGUAACCUGCCCUUGACUUUGGGAUAACUUCAGGAAACUGGGGCUAAUACCGGAUAGGAGCUCCUGCUGCAUGGUGGGGGUUGGAAAGUUUCGGCGGUUGGGGAUGGACUCGCGGCUUAUCAGCUUGUUGGUGGGGUAGUGGCUUACCAAGGCUUUGACGGGUAGCCGGCCUGAGAGGGUGACCGGCCACAUUGGGACUGAGAUACGGCCCAGACUCCUACGGGAGGCAGCAGUGGGGAAUAUUGCACAAGGGGUGGAAGCCGGAUGAAGCAACGCCGUGUGCGGGAUGACGGCCUUCGGGUUGUAAACCGCUUUCGCUCAUGACGAAGCUUUGUGUGACGGUAGUGGGUAAAGAAGCACCGGCUAACUACGUG
RNAcentral lists this ribosomal RNA (467 nucleotides) under uncultured bacterium. RNAcentral describes it as "partial 16S ribosomal RNA". It matches the Rfam family "Bacterial small subunit ribosomal RNA", at positions 28 to 507 of the family's 1533-position model. The record is from RNAcentral.